Molecule: ribosomal RNA, 516 nt
Filed under: uncultured bacterium
Lineage: Bacteria
Description: bacterial SSU rRNA
Rfam family: Bacterial small subunit ribosomal RNA
Source: RNAcentral
GGGGAGCGGAUGAAGUUCGUCUUCCUUUCGGGGACUGCCACAGAGGUGCUGCAUGGCUGUCCCCAGCUCGUGUCGUGAGAUGUUGGGUUAAGUCCCGCAACGAGCGCAACCCCUAUUCUUAGUUGCCAGCGAGUAAUGUCGGGAACUCUAAGGAGACUGCCCCGGAAAUCGGGGAGGAAGGUGGGGAUGACGUCAAGUCCUCAUGGCCUUUAUGUCCAGGGCUACACACGUGCUACAAUGGACGGUACAAAGGGUUGCAACAGCGCGAGCUUGAGCUAAUCUCAAAAAACCGUUCUCAGUCCGGAUUGCAGUCUGCAACUCGACUGCAUGAAGCUGGAAUCGCUAGUAAUCCCUGAUCAGCAGGCAGGGGUGAAUACGUUCCCGGGCCUUGUACACACCGCCCGUCACAUCACGAAAGUCGGCUGUACCGGAAGUCGGUGCGCGAACCGCAAGGACGCAGCCGCCCAUGGUAUGGUCGGUGAUUGGGGUGAAGUCGUCGUAACAAGGUAACCGUAA